This 883-nucleotide ribosomal RNA is filed under the name uncultured soil bacterium. RNAcentral's name for it is "bacterial SSU rRNA". It matches the Rfam family "Bacterial small subunit ribosomal RNA", at positions 56 to 944 of the family's 1533-position model. The record is from RNAcentral.
UGCAGUCGAGUGCGCGGUUGUAGCAAUACAACUGGCGCACGGCGCACGGGUGCAUAACACGUGGGCAAUCUGCCCUUCGAUGGGGAAUAACUCCGGGAAACCGAAGCUAAUUCCGCAUAACAUUCCUUGGACUUCGGUCCGAGGACUCAAAGCCGUAAGGCGUCGAAGGAGGAGCCCGCGCCCGAUUAGCUAGUUGGCAGGGUAACGGCCUACCAAGGCUUUGAUCGGUAGCUGGUCUGAGAGGAUGGCCAGCCACACUGGAACUGAGACACGGUCCAGACUCCUACGGGAGGCAGCAGUGGGGAAUCUUGCGCAAUGGGCGAAAGCCUGACGCAGCGACGCCGCGUGGGGGAUGAAGCAUCUCGGUGUGUAAACCCCUUUCGACUGGGACGAAUGCCUCGCAAGAGGAGUGACGGUACCAGUAGAAGAAGCCCCGGCUAACUACGUGCCAGCAGCCGCGGUAAGACGUAGGGGGCCAGCGUUGUUCGGAAUUACUGGGUGUAAAGGGUUCGUAGGCGGUGCGGCAAGUCGGGAGUGAAAUUUCUGGGCUUAACCCAGAAGCUGCUUCCGAAACUGCCGUGCUGGAGUGUGGGAGAGGCGCGUGGAAUUGCAGGUGUAGCGGUGAAAUGCGUAGAUAUCUGCAGGAACACCCGUGGCGAAAGCGGCGCGCUGGACCACAACUGACGCUGAGGAACGAAAGCUAGGGGAGCAAACAGGAUUAGAUACCCUGGUAGUCCUAGCCCUAAACGAUCAGGAACUUGGGGUGCCACCCGUCGGGUGUCGUCCCGGAGCUACGCGUUAAGUCCUGCACCUGGGGAGUACGGUCGCAAGACUGAAACUCAAAGGAAUUGACGGGGGCCCGCACAAGCGGUGGAACAUGUGG